CCUACGAGUGGCAGCAGUAGGGAAUCUUCCACAAUGGGCGAAAGCCUGAUGGAGCAACGCCGCGUGGGUGAAGAAGGUCUUCGGAUCGUAAAACCCUGUUGUUAGAGAAGAAAGUGCGUGCGAGUAACUGUUCACGUUUCGACGGUAUCUAACCCAAAAGCCACGGCUAACUACGUGCCAGCAGCCGCGGUAAUACGUAGGUGGCAAGCAUUAUCCGUCUUUUUUGGGCGUAAAGGGAACGCAGGCGGUCUUUUAAGUCUGAUGUGAAAGCCUUCGGCUUAACCGGAGUAGUGCAUUGGAAACUGGGAGACUUGAGUGCAGAAGAGGAGAGGGGAACUCCAUGUGUAGCGGUGAAAUGCGUAGAUAUAUGGAAGAACACCAGUGGCGAAAGCGGCUCUCUGGUCUGUAACUGACGCUGAGGUUCGAAAGCGUGGGUAGCAAACAGGAUUAGAUACCCGAGUAGUC
RNAcentral lists this ribosomal RNA (465 nucleotides) under uncultured bacterium. RNAcentral describes it as "partial 16S ribosomal RNA". It matches the Rfam family "Bacterial small subunit ribosomal RNA", at positions 338 to 795 of the family's 1533-position model. The record is from RNAcentral.